GGGGAAUUUUCCGCAAUGGGCGCAAGUCUGACGGAGCAACGCCGCGUGCAGGAGGACGCUUUUCGGAGUGUAAACUGCUUUUCUGUGGGACGAGCGAGGACGGUACCACAGGAAGAAGCCCCGGCUAACUACGUGCCAGCAGCCGCGGUAAUACGUAGGGGGCGAGCGUUGUCCGGAGUUACUGGGCGUAAAGGGCAUGCAGGCGGUCGGACGCGUUUCCAGUGACAGUGGGUGGCUUACCUACCCGAGGAUUGGAAAGACGGUUUGACUUGAGGACUCGAGAGGGACACGGAAUUCCGGGUGGAGUGGUGAAAUGCGUAGAGAUCCGGAGGAACAUCAAGGGCGAAGGCAGUGUCCUGGCGAGUAACUGACGCUGAGGUGCGAAAGCUAGGGGAGCGAAAGGGAUUAGAUACCCCUA
Molecule: ribosomal RNA, 418 nt
Filed under: uncultured bacterium
Lineage: Bacteria
Description: bacterial SSU rRNA
Rfam family: Bacterial small subunit ribosomal RNA
Source: RNAcentral